Molecule: long non-coding RNA, 502 nt
Filed under: Trifolium pratense (red clover)
Lineage: Eukaryota; Viridiplantae; Streptophyta; Magnoliopsida; Fabales; Fabaceae
Description: long non-coding RNA (TPRA_LNC003254)
Source: RNAcentral
GUGAGACAAAUUAUACAAGUAAACACAUUAUGAUCGUGCAAAUAAAAUUAUACAGUUAGAAGUAAUAUAAAUUACUUUUCAACUUAGUUAUUAUGCUUUACAUGCAAUAGCAUUUAUUCCAAAUGCAUCGUAAAAAAAAAUUGGUGCUACAUCUAAACUCUGGACAAUCGUGGACAGUGAUGCAAGUAAAGGGAAUACCGUAGAAGUCUUUGAGUGAGGGAUAGAUCUCUGUCAAGUCUAAAAUGAAGAAAAAAAAUGUUACUAAAUUAAAAAGAUGAAAGAUAUUGUAUACGAUAAAGAAGAAAAAAGACUUGCCUUCUUCGCUAGAAACAAGAAGAAUUGGAGAAAGAAAAAUGAUCAAAGCAUAAACAAAUUUAAAAAAUUUAAUCAUAUUUUUCCUUCGUUGCAUGUAAUGUAACAAACCAAAAAUGGUUUCAUCAAUUUAUGCAUAAAACACCGCAUGCCUUAAUAUCAAUUUAAAAGUAUUUACUAACACUUAUGA